AAAAAAGAAAGACAGGGUUCUCUGCAAGUUCUGCACUCGUGGCAAAGGACUAACGUAGCAGAGGACAACUGGCAACUCUUUGCGUCGACAGUCGACACCAAAGAUAUCCAUUCCCCCGGCCAAACACCCUCUUGAAAAACCCACAGGGGCUUCUCUCAAUUUCCACCAUCUCUCUCUCUCUUCUCCGUCACUUGUCUUAAGUUUGAGCUUCCAGCCUUUUGCUUUCGUCCCUCUACUUUGGCUUUGUUGGGUUAUGCGAAGAAUAUAUAUAUAAUUCAAGAAAAUGUGGUCGGCUGGUCUCAUUCAAAACCUCGCCAAUGAUCACUUCCACGUCGUCUCCAUAUCGGUUUUCGUCGCUGUGCUCUGUCUCUGCAUUGUCAUCGGCCACUUGCUUGAAGAAAAUCGAUGGGUCAACGAGUCCAUCACUGCAAUUUUGAUAGGAUGCAUUACUGGAACCAUAAUCUUGUUUUGGAGCAAGGGUACAAAUUCUCACAUCCUAAGAUUUGAUGAAGAAUUAUUCUUCAUAUAUCUUCUCCCACCCAUAAUCUUCAAUGCUGGAUUUCAGGUUAAGAAGAAGCAGUUCUUCCGUAACUUUAUAACUAUCAUGCUAUUUGGAGUGGUUGGUGUUUUUAUUUCUUCAGCCAUCAUAACAGCUGGCAGCUGGUGGCUGUUUGCAAAAAUUGGCUUUUCUGGCCUCCUUGCACCGGAGUAUCUUGGAAUUGGAACAAUAUUCUCAUCAACUGAUACUGUCUGUACGCUACAGGUCUUGAAUCAAGAUGAGACUCCUCUACUUUAUAGCCUAGUUUUUGGGGAAGGAGUGGUGAAUGAUGCUACCUCAGUUGUUCUCUUCAAUGCUGUCCGGAAACUAGAUGUUUCUAAACUUGAUGUUUGGGUGGCAGUUUUUGUACUUGGAGACUUCCUCUACCUAUUUUUAUCAAGCACUGUCCUCGGAGUUGCUACCGGACUAUUGACUGCAUAUGCUCUUAAAUCCUUAUACUUUGGUAGGCAUUCAACUGAUCGUGAAAUCGCUCUAAUGGGUCUAAUGGCGUAUCUGUCCUACAUGCUCGCUGAGCUGCUACAACUUAGUGGGAUUCUUACAGUCUUCUUCUGCGGGAUUGUGAUGUCACAUUAUGCGUGGUAUAAUGUGACUGAAAAUUCAAGAAUCACAACCAGGCACCUGUUUGCAACAAUGUCGUUCAUUGCAGAAACUUUCAUCUUUCUUUAUGUGGGAACGGAUGCUCUUGACAUUGAGAAAUGGAAAAUGAGCAAGACAAGCUUCAAGACAUCAAUGGGUAUAUGUUGUAUGAUAAUAUUUCUGAUAUUGCUUGGACGUGCUGCAUUUGUGUUUCCUCUGUCUGCUUUGUCUAAUUAUACGAGUAGAAGUGCCGAGAGAACACCAAUUACAUUCAAACACCAGAUUAUAAUUUGGUGGGCUGGGCUUAUGAGAGGAGCUGUCUCUAUUGCUCUGGCUUACAGUCAGUUCACAUUCUCAGGCGUUACAUGGAAUCCAGUUCAUGCUACAAUGGUAACCAACACUGUCAUUGUUGUUCUCUUCACUACACUGGUGUUUGGCAUUUUGACAAAACCACUUAUAAAUGUACUGCUUCCUCAUCAUGCAAUGGGAAACCAUCACCAUCAAGAUCCAGAUUCCCACUAUGAUGAGCUCAAGUUUCCUUUGCACAACUUUGAAGAAUCUGCCACGUCCGAUAUCCUCAGUGCACAGAGUAGCUUCUCCAUGUUAAUAGAAAGGCCUGUAUACACCAUACACUUCUAUUGGCGGAAGUUUGACAAUGCCUUCAUGAGACCAAUAUUUGGUGGGCCUAGCUGAUGAUACAAAGACAGGUAGGUGGGUUAUCGCAAGGUUUUAAAAACACCUUGCAUGUUAAGGUGACUGCCACUUAUAUCGACUUUCUGUGACUGAAGAACUUACGUCGGUGGCUCAACAAAAAAACCAACAGACCCCAACCCCCCAAACAAAUUGAAAACUCUAGGCGGAACCAUUGUUCCUCUCCAAUGACUUUCAGCAUGUUACAUCAUUUUUAAGCUAUUUUGGACAAAUUUCAUGCGUUAAUUGUUGGUGUAAGAUGUCUUGUAUUUCGUCAUUUAAUCUAGGGAGAACUGGUGUAGGUGUCCUGAACUCCUGAUAGAACAGAACCAGCGGUGUAAUCUUAUUUUCCAUUGAUAGUGAAAUAGAAUCUCAUCUUACUGAGGAUGUAGGUUAGCAAAUAUGCAAAGUCGCUGUCUUGCUAAGUGGGCUUCAUGGUAUGCUUUCUUCAACAUGGGGUCAUGGAAGUACUCCUGCUUUGCAAAGGACCUACCACGUACCAAUUGUAACUUUAUUCCCCCCCAAGUGGAUGAAUAAAAUCUCUCUCACAGCUGUUUGCACCCAAAAAAAAUUAUAAAGUUGGGCUUGUUGGCCUUCCCCUAAUUGGUCUCUGACUAUAGGCUUUAGCUGAAAACCAAAUACAACUCUUCUGCUAUUCAGUAUCACUUAUUACCCAUCAGAGAAAAAGAUAGAUUAAUUAUCUACAAAUAAGCAGUUCCAACUUUAUAGAUCCUUGGCUUGUUGAUCUUGCAUGGAGAAGCUAUACUUUGUCUUUUUGUCAUGUUCUUCCCUUUCUUUGGUGAAAAAAAAAUGUUCUUUUCUUCCCUCUUUA
This is an RNA transcript of Macadamia integrifolia, 2657 nucleotides long. It is a transcript of the gene named sodium/hydrogen exchanger 4-like, with no coding region annotated. The record is from RefSeq and is a predicted model, not a curated record. NCBI's taxonomy places the organism in Eukaryota, Viridiplantae, Streptophyta, Magnoliopsida, Proteales, Proteaceae. The transcript has 16 exons.